Molecule: ribosomal RNA, 130 nt
Filed under: Komagataella pseudopastoris
Lineage: Eukaryota; Fungi; Ascomycota; Pichiomycetes; Pichiales; Pichiaceae
Also listed under: 1 other name
Description: 5.8S ribosomal RNA
Rfam family: 5.8S ribosomal RNA
About the family: 5.8S ribosomal RNA (5.8S rRNA) is a component of the large subunit of the eukaryotic ribosome. It is transcribed by RNA polymerase I as part of the 45S precursor that also contains 18S and 28S rRNA.
Source: RNAcentral
AAUCUCCUCCCAACGGAUCUCUUGGCUCUCGCAACGAUGAAGAACGCAGCGAUCCGCGAUACGUCCUGGAAGCCGCCGUGAACCAUCAAUUUUCGAACGCACAUUGCAUACAGGGAGGGUGGGGUGAGUC